RNAcentral lists this ribosomal RNA (682 nucleotides) under Azadinium spinosum. RNAcentral describes it as "partial large subunit ribosomal RNA". It matches the Rfam family "Eukaryotic large subunit ribosomal RNA", at positions 63 to 630 of the family's 3401-position model. Lineage: Eukaryota; Dinophyceae; Gonyaulacales; Amphidomataceae. The record is from RNAcentral.
AACUAAACAGGAUUCCCUUAGUAAUGGCGAAUGAACAGGGAUGAGCUCAGCAUGGAAAUCGGGGUCUCCCGACCUUGAAUUGUAGUCUGUAGAUGUACUGCCAACGGAGGCGCAGAUGUAAGCCUCUUGGAAAAGAGCAUCAACGAGGGUGAGAGUCCCGUUUGUCAUCUGCAGUCCCCCGUGCACGGUGUGCCUUCUAAGAGUCACGUUCCUCGGGAUUGGAGCGCAAAGUGGGUGGUAAAUUUCAUCUAAAGCUAAAUAUUGGUUCGAGACCGAUAGCAAACAAGUACCAUGAGGGAAAGGUGAAAAGGACUUUGAAAAGAGAGUUAAAAGUGCCUGAAAUUGCUGAAAGGGAAGCGAAUGGAACCAGUGUUCUUGAUGAGAUUGUUGCGUACUCUGGUGAUUGCUGGGUGUUCCACCGCAAGGGGGGCAUCUAGUUUUGAGCUAGAUGUGCGUGGUGUUUCUUGUCUUGUGUGUCACCGUCGGUGCACGAGCGAGUAAACCUCCAGGGGGCUGGUAACUCGACCACGGUUGAGUGAAUACCUUUGGCAGUACUCAUUUGUGUAUCGAUCCCUGCGUGUCUGGUUGCAGUGUUUGGGUCGCCUGGAACCUCCUGAAGGGCUUGUCCUCGAAGGAGUCCUUUUGGGCGCCCUGAGCAUCUCCCUGACACAAAGACGAUGAC